UGGCUACACACAGAAGUUGUGCCGCA
RNAcentral lists this non-coding RNA (26 nucleotides) under Mus musculus (house mouse). The record is from RNAcentral. Lineage: Eukaryota; Metazoa; Chordata; Mammalia; Rodentia; Muridae.